This 263-nucleotide unclassified non-coding RNA is filed under the name plant metagenome. RNAcentral describes it as "partial contains small subunit ribosomal RNA, internal transcribed spacer 1, and 5.8S ribosomal RNA". The record is from RNAcentral.
UUUCCGUAGGUGAACCUGCGGAAGGAUCAUUAUUGUAUAACCGAGGUGCGAGGGCUGUCGCUGACCCGAAAGGUCCUGCACGCCCGAGUGCCCUCACACACAUCCAUCUCACCCCUAUGUGCACCACCGCGUGGGUCCCCCUUUGGCUUGUUCGGAGGGGGGCUUACGUUUUCACACAAACUUUGUAUGCAGUGUAGAAUGUAUUUUUUGUUUUUGCGAUCACGCAAUCAAUACAACUUUCAACAACGGAUCUCUUGGCUCUC